AUAUUUAUAUAAUAUUUUUAUGUUAAUGACUUGAAAAAAAAUAUGUUUUUAAGAUAUAUUGAACUGUGAUGUUGUUAUAACAUAUAUUGUACAUGGUGUUUUUUUGUGUGCAGAAAUUUUUAAUAUUGUGCAUAGUGUUUUUUUGUUAUAUAUGUUCUUUAAAAUAUAUUUAUAUGUUAUUUAAAAUCUAUUAUUAACAUAUUUGGGAAAAUAAUUUUUUGUGUCCCCGUAUUUAAGAUAUAGUUUACUAUGUUUUAAAAAUAUAUGGUCAAUUUAAAUUAACUGAGAUUAGAUUUAUUUUAAUAGAGUAGAUUAUAAUUUUAAAACAAAAAAGCCUGAUUUUGUUUAUCUCAUUAAACUCAACAUAGAUGUUUUUAUUCAUCUUUUUAAAUGGAAAGAAGUCUGAACUUUGUCUCAUAAAUGGGUCAACCUUAAGUCCAACAUAAAACCAUGCAACAUAUAUGUUUUAUGGGCACUAUUUUGUUUCUUAUAUUUUAUACGUGAUGAUCCAUUAAAUUUUCAAGCAUUAUAUUUGUUGUUACAGAAAUGGCCCAUUAGUUAAAAACGUAUUAGAUUCAUCGAAAGGUAAAAUAAGGCCACACCUUUUUUUUCCGGGAAGCAAAACCACUUUUAACGUUUUCUUGAAAAAAUCAACAACCUUUUUUUCUUUGCUUCUCCGUCGGUGGUUCUCAGUUCGAGACAAUACUCAUCUCUGUAAUCACCAACAAAAAUUCUUUAAAAGUAUAUCAAAUCCAGGAUAAACACCGUUCAGUCAAUCACCAAACUCAAUCGAUAACUGAGUUCUCGGUAAGUUUUUAUAAUUUUCUGAUUGUAAACGAUCCGGGUUAACGAUCAGGUUUCGUUAUCUAAAAAUCUGGUUCUUACUCAUAUCGAUAGAUCUCUUAGAUCUAUCUCUAGAUCCAUCAUCAUUAUUAUCUUCUUACUCAGUUUUGUUUCUAUUAAUUUGUCUUGCUCGCGGUAAGCUGAAAAAGGAACUUGGUAUUUUAUUAGGUAAUUGGCCAGGAUUGUUUAAACGAUGGAUCUUUAAAAAGACAAAAGCAGAGUAGAAGACAAACCUGACAGAGAUUUUAAAAAGUUAAGUCUGACCUGAAAUAUAAUCAUAGUACAUAUGUUCACAUCAACACAGUUUUAUUUAUUCUCUUGUUGAUCUUUUGCUAUGUUUUCGUUUAUAUUAUUUCCUUGUUCUUAUUUUUUUUUGUCUUUUCAUCUCAUAUAUUGAUAGGUCAUUGAUAAGGGUUGUAUGCCAGAGAAACUGGGGAAUACAGCUUUGGAACAAUUCACAAAAUAAACUACAGAAACAAAGAUUGGGAACGCAGCCGAUGACCAUCAUCCUCAAACCGAGGUUGAUGCUUUCUUUUCAUCCUCUUCAUUGAAGGGCUAUGUUAGCAGAAACUACACGGUUUGUUCUCAGUUACAUGCACUGGAACUGAGGAAUAGUAUAAUCACCUUUAAAACAAAGUUGAUAGGAUGCAAAUAUAGAUUUAUCAAACAAUCUACUUUGGCUUAUUUACUAAAGGGAGUUCAACAACAGCUUAUUAAAGGUGGAAUUGGUGACGUUGGAGUUGCUGAUGAUCGACAUUUUGUACUUAUGACUUGUCGGUCGGUACUUUCCGGCAGCUGCGGUUAGUGAGAAAUUUUCAAUGAACCUCCAUUGUCCAACUUGAAGUUUCUUAACACGAGCAAAGAAGAGUCUCUUGCAGCAAGAAUGAACUGAAGAGAAUCUCCACCAGAAUAAGAUGAAUGUUGUGUCCAUGAAUGCAGGACUUUAACUUCGACCUUCCAAGAUGUUUUGUAUGGUUUGACAUCAUUGAGCAAAGUCAUCGUCGGGUCUGAGGUAAUCAUAGCCAUACGAGUGUACGUUUUUUUUUUUGCGGACAUAGGAGGUAUUAGUUGAUCGUCUUAUUAUUUAUAGUGAUCAUUAAACGUUUAGGUUUAAUGAUAGCGUGCUGAAGAUUUGAUUUGAUAUCCAUAUAGUUAAAUUCGAUAGAAUAUUCUGAUUA
Long non-coding RNA from Brassica napus (rape), 2021 nucleotides. RefSeq lists it as uncharacterized. NCBI's taxonomy places the organism in Eukaryota, Viridiplantae, Streptophyta, Magnoliopsida, Brassicales, Brassicaceae. The transcript has 5 exons. The record is from RefSeq and is a predicted model, not a curated record.